Molecule: ribosomal RNA, 281 nt
Filed under: uncultured bacterium
Lineage: Bacteria
Description: partial 16S ribosomal RNA
Rfam family: Bacterial small subunit ribosomal RNA
Source: RNAcentral
AGCUCGUGUCGUGAGAUGUUCGGUUAAGUCCGCUAACGAGCGCAACCCUUGCCGCGUGUUACAUGUGUCACGCGGGACCGCCGGUAUUAAGCCGGAGGAAGGCGGGGAUGACGUCAAGUCAGCAUGGCCUUUAUGCCUGGGGCUACACACACGCUACAAUGGGCAGUACAAUGGGUUGCCAAGCCGCGAGGCGGAGCUAAUCCCCCAAAACUGUCCUCAGUUCAGAUUGCAGGCUGAAACUCGCCUGCAUGAAGCCGGAGUUGCUAGUAAACGCGCGUCAG